CUACGGGGGGCACCAGUCGAGGAAAUUUUACAAUGCUCGAAAGAGUGAUAGAAUGAGUCAGAGUGUUUCUCUUAGAGAAACUUUUUUCUGUUGUAAAAAGACAGAAGAAUAAGGACUGGGAAAGACCGGUGCCAGCCGCCGCGGUAAUACCGGCGGUCCGAGUCGCAUCCACAUUUAUUGGGUCUAAAACAUCCGUAGCUUGUUUUAUAAGUCUCUUGUGAAAUCUGAUAUCUCAAAUAUCAGGCGUGCAAGAGAUACUAUAUUGCUAGAGACCGGAAGGCGCAAAGAGUAUGGUUAAGGUAGCGGUAAAAUGUGUUAAUCUUAAUUAGACUAACAAUUAGCGAAGGCACUUUGCGAGUACGGAUCUGACAGUGAGGGAUGAAGGCUAGGGGCGCAAAAGGGAUUAGAUACCCCCGUAGUC
This 421-nucleotide ribosomal RNA is filed under the name uncultured archaeon. RNAcentral's name for it is "partial 16S ribosomal RNA". It matches the Rfam family "Archaeal small subunit ribosomal RNA", at positions 323 to 746 of the family's 1478-position model. The record is from RNAcentral.